AGUGCAGAUACGACUGACCGAGCUGACCGAGCUGUGGUGGUGAUCCGCCCUUCGCAUCUCUCCCUUCUGUUUCUCCUCCCGCAGAUCUUAGCAAACCGCCACCCCUCUCUCAAGGCGGUCUCACUGCACCGCAGCACGCUCGAUGACGUCACUGGUUCCGUUCGACUUCCGCUGUGUUAGGCACCUCACCGGUGUCUCGCUCCGCUGUGCUCCGCUACAUGUGUGCUUGGCGGCACAGCGGCCGCGGCGCGCCGCACCCACCGCGGUGCCAGCUCAGCCAACGAGUGCACCUGAUGACGGCGGCUACGACUCCUCGCUACACUCGACUGCGUCUUUGGCAAAGGGGGGCGAGGGAGGUAUCUGCCAGAGCUCGAGUAUGCAGUCUAACGGGGAAGCGGCUACUGUGGGAACAUUGCGUCGCCCAUCACCGUCGACGCCACCGCACGCUACGACUGCUGAUCGCUCCGGACGUUUGGCUUUGCCGCUCCCAUCUCAUCCAGACCAGAACAUAAACUCACUCAGCGACGAAGCAGUGCGCGCCACCCCUGUAGCCAUCGCUCACAUCAGCUCAUCAGGACACACUGUCAACUUCCACAACCCCUCUUUGUGCAUCGAAGUCUACUACACAAUCGACGCCCUUCCUCCGUUCUCGUCCUCUGCCGCUGGAGCUGGUCAGGCGAGCAGUGCCGCGUCUGCGGGAUCGACGCACGACACAGGGGCUACAAGGGAGUACGGCAGCCGCGGCGAUGGUGAUGACGAGUGGGCCAUGGAGGGGCGGUGGCCGCCCACGCUCUUUACCUCACCGGCUCACGUGUAUACGAGUGAGGUGGCGCGUGGCAGUUCACACCCCUGCUGGUCCGCCAUACCGCCUGGGCAACUGAACGCGUACGGCGCGGCCACACAGGUUGAGCUUGCCUUCUACUACACAGCUGCAUGCCUUUCAAACGCGGUGUCAUUGAUGGCGUCUGCAUCGGAUACCACGCCGCCCACAACUAUUCCUCUCGAUCACAUUGUGCCCGCCGACGUGUGCGUGCAUCGCUGCCAAGUGGACAUGCGCGACGUGGUAUACGCCGGGUCGACCAUGGAGGAGGCAGACGCUACACUGAGCCGAGUGUUUCACCUCGAGCAGCAGCAGCAUCAGCAGCCACAAACUCGAUGCUGCACCAGACCCAUCAUCUUUUUACGAUACACGGACGGCGUCUUUGUCCCGCGCGUGUGCCUGUCAGACAUCUCAGCUGCGGCGACGGGGCUGCUGGAGGAGAUGCGGGCGGCUCGAACUCGCACCUUUGCCCCACCGCCGACGGGGGCCGAGCUGCAACCCACGUCUUCCUUUCCUGACACGCUUCACACGAUCGCUGGCCAAUCAUCGAUCGUGGCGACUGCCGCAGCGGAGGCGGCAGCGGCCUGUGAAGAGCUGCCGUGGAGUCGGGCACCGUCUUCAGUUGGCUGGCGAUACCCGCCCACUGCCGUCCCUCGUGCCGGUCCGCUGCGUAUGACCAUAGGGGACGUGAAGGCGGCAACGCUCGCGACAGUUGCGUGGCAGCAACUGGCAGACCUGACAGAGGAGCGGCAGGCACAACUGGCAGCGGACUUGAAUCGUGAAGCCGCCGCCGAUCCACUGGAGCGUGCGGGGGAGGCACGGUGUGCCGCACUUCGCGUGCAGCUGUCAGCUGCACGAGAGCAGCUGACCCUCUCCACUCUGGAGCUGGAGGCGCUGCGAGAGCAGGUGGAGCAGCGGCAACGGCGGUUGCAGAGACAAGAGGAGGCACAGGCCAAGCUGCAGAGCUAUCAGGUUUACACGGUAUCACCCGAGGCGGGAGAGCAAUCAAGGGUGACGGUUCGCGAAGAGGAGGCACAGCGCGCGCGGCUCCGCGCUCAGCUCGCCAGAAUCCGGCAGCGGCGCGCGCGGGAGCUGUGCCUCGUAUACACGGUGGAGCUUUCGUCCCAGUACGCGAAUGAGGCCUGCACACGCGCGGCGGACGCGAAGGACCACAUCAACAAGUGCGCGCUCCCGAUCAUGUUUGCUGGACGCGCCGAAGCUGACACUGCCUCGCAUUUGGUGGCAAGCACGGCAGAGGAUAUGCAGGAGGAGGCCAUCGCUCUCGGCCAUGCCGGUCACCUGCUUGUUGUGCUUUCUAUAUUGUACAGCUGCGCACUGCCCUAUCCGAUUGUUCUAGCAAGCGGACAGAGCCAAGUGCUUCAGUCGCCGAACAUCAGCGCCGAGCAGGUGUUGGCGGCCCCUUACACGCUCACUGAUGCGCGCAAGUACCCGCUAAGUUGCCACAAGGUAGCCGAGCGACCUCUCAUGAUGGCUGGUGUGCAUCUAUUGCUGCGCGAUGGGAUUGUCCUGGCAAAGGCGAUGGGCAAGCCAGAGCGCCGCGUGCUCGCCUGCUCUGAUCGGCUCGGCGCGCUGCUCGAUCUGCUGCUACACGACGUCGAGUGAGGUUCAUCAAGGAGAGAUGUAUGCUCGUGUGUGUGUGCGUUUGUGUGCUGGCAAGAUUCACAUGACGUACCCAGAUGGCAGCGACACCGUGAGGGGGGAGGGAAGGGGUAUGCACAGACCGUUUUGACACCCCCUCUGCCCCACAGCGUCUGUUCUUCCCCUCGUCCUCCCGCAAGUGCUUUACAGCAGACACGCGCGUGCACUCCCCACGAAGGCACGCACACACCAAUGCGUGCUCGUUUCUCAAUGCGGUGGGUAGGCGUGUGAGUGAGCAGCGCGCCACGUCACCCCCGGCCCGACUAUCCCCCGCUCACCGCCCAUGCGCGUCUGCUCUUCGCGUGUCUCUGCUCGCUCUUUUUUUCGCCCUCAAAGGAGGAGGGAACGAGGGACAGGGGUGCAACUGCAGCAACAACGAACGAACAAGCGCAACACCCGCUCUAUCCCUCCCCCGACACACACACACACACACACAGGUGAGGCGGGCCGUGCAUGUGCACCAACGUACAUACUAGCAGGAGACAGGGGAGGGUGGGAGGAGGUUAGUUGCGGAACAACCACCCCUUUCCUUCUCUCGCUGUCCUUGGUCACCCCCAACCCCCACCGCGCACAUUUUGUAUGCCGUGUGGCCUCUCAGACCGCAGGUGGCGCCCUAUCUUCCCCUCGUUUUUCACAGGUGUCGCUCGCUUGCUUCCCUCUUCUACCUCUGCAUUGCACUUGCACAUACUUGCACGCAUACAUGCAUAUGAGUGUAUGCAG
Molecule: unclassified non-coding RNA, 3199 nt
Filed under: Leishmania donovani
Lineage: Eukaryota; Euglenozoa; Kinetoplastea; Trypanosomatida; Trypanosomatidae
Description: gene:LdHU3.27.3290(CDS-product:hypothetical_prote in_conserved)
Source: RNAcentral